UACGUAGGGUGCGAGCGUUGUCCAGAAUUAUUGGGCGUAAAGGGCUCGUAGGCGGUCUGUCGCGUCGGGAGUGAAAACUCAGGGCUUAACCCUGAGCCUGCUUCCGAUACGGGCAGACUAGAGGUAUGCAGGGGAGAACGGAAUUCCUGGUGUAGCGGUGAAAUGCGCAGAUAUCAGGAGGAACACCGGUGGCGAAGGCGGUUCUCUGGGCAUUACCUGACGCUGAGGAGCGAAAGUGUGGGGAGCGAACAGG
Molecule: ribosomal RNA, 253 nt
Filed under: uncultured bacterium
Lineage: Bacteria
Description: partial 16S ribosomal RNA
Rfam family: Bacterial small subunit ribosomal RNA
Source: RNAcentral